CAAAAACAAGUUUUCUAAAAAUGAAGUUGAGCGGUGUUACGUUGUUCUUAAUUCUUUUAUCGCUUUUCUUGAUUACAUCAGAAGGAAGAAAACUUCAAAGUUCUCCACAACCUGUAAUUAACGACCCGUCGGGACCCAUGAAUAAAACAAUAGAAGAAAACCAUAGAUACCUCUUGCAGUCGGGCGGUUGUUGGCAGUGUUGGGAGGACGAGCAUGGCCCCCCUCCCAAAUGACCACAUGGUUGAGUUGAUCCAAUGUAUGUAGAUAUUAUUAGGAGGAUACAUGGUUCUUUUUCAAGUUCUUUCUUUCAUUUUUUCAUUUUUUUUACGAAUUAUCCUUCAACAUGGUCAUCAAUAGCACCUAUGCUAAUACGAAUAAAAGGUUAAUAUUGUUAUUCAUGUUGUAUGCAAUAAUAUCAUGAAUUUUAAUAAUAUUUUAUGGAAA
Helianthus annuus (common sunflower) is the source of this 444-nucleotide long non-coding RNA. RefSeq lists it as uncharacterized. The transcript has 2 exons. NCBI's taxonomy places the organism in Eukaryota, Viridiplantae, Streptophyta, Magnoliopsida, Asterales, Asteraceae. The record is from RefSeq and is a predicted model, not a curated record.